Labrus mixtus (cuckoo wrasse) is the source of this 500-nucleotide long non-coding RNA. RefSeq lists it as uncharacterized. The transcript is spliced from 5 exons. NCBI's taxonomy places the organism in Eukaryota, Metazoa, Chordata, Actinopteri, Labriformes, Labridae. The record is from RefSeq and is a predicted model, not a curated record.
GUGUGCCAUCACUGAGGGGAAGUGGAUGGAUUCUACAAGACGACUGAACACCCAUCCAGAGCCACUUUGCAGAAGUUGAGGACAUGGAGGACCUGCCCUCCCAACAUGAAGACAUUUCAGGGCUCAAACUUCACACCACUCUGGCGUGUUAUUCUCACAAUCAAGACCUAAAUCCUGUGUCUUGCACAAAUCAAAUGUCUGCCUUCCUGCAUGCUUGCCCCAGUCAUCCGGCUUUUCAUACCUCUCCUGUUCUGCACCUCUUUCCGAUAUGUUAACAAAGAUCCCGGUUGGAAGAAAUAAAACAUUUUCUCAAUGGGACGAUUUCUCCAGUUGUGACCCAACCUCCCGAUAAACUCCACUCUGAGUCUUCUCAUCAAAGGAGCUACAGAACCGAGCGGAGCUGCCAAGGUGAAACGGAGAGCGGACAUUAAAGAGGAAUAUCUUACAUUCCUUCACCAACCUUCAUUUUCAGUGAAUAAAGCCCAUCUGUUUAAACAAUA